Molecule: microRNA precursor, 187 nt
Filed under: Oryza barthii
Lineage: Eukaryota; Viridiplantae; Streptophyta; Magnoliopsida; Poales; Poaceae
Description: MIR812 microRNA precursor family
Rfam family: MIR812 microRNA precursor family
Source: Rfam by way of RNAcentral
UAUUAUUGUACUGUUUAUAUACAACGUUUGACCAUUCAUCUUAUUUUAAAAAAAUAUUAUGACUAGUAUUUUUGUUUUUAUUAAAUGAUAAAACAUAAAUAGUACUAUUUUUUUUAUUUUUUUAUAAAUUUUUCAAAUAAGACGGACUAUCAAACGUUGGACACGGAAAUCCAUAACUGCAUUGAAA